CGUUAGCGGCGGACGGGUGAGUAACACGUGGAUAACCUACCUAUAAGACUGGGAUAACUUCGGGAAACCGGAGCUAAUACCGGAUAAUAUAUUGAACCGCAUGGUUCAAUAGUGAAAGACGGUUUUGCUGUAACUUAUAGAUGGAUCCGCGCCGCAUUAGCUAGUUGGUAAGGUAACGGCUUACCAAGGCAACGAUGCGUAGCCGACCUGAGAGGGUGAUCGGCCACACUGGAACUGAGACACGGUCCAG
RNAcentral lists this ribosomal RNA (250 nucleotides) under uncultured Staphylococcus sp. RNAcentral describes it as "partial 16S ribosomal RNA". It matches the Rfam family "Bacterial small subunit ribosomal RNA", at positions 90 to 334 of the family's 1533-position model. The record is from RNAcentral. Lineage: Bacteria; Bacillati; Bacillota; Bacilli; Caryophanales; Staphylococcaceae.